This 553-nucleotide ribosomal RNA is filed under the name Pichia manshurica. RNAcentral's name for it is "eukaryotic LSU rRNA". It matches the Rfam family "Eukaryotic large subunit ribosomal RNA", at positions 73 to 657 of the family's 3401-position model. Lineage: Eukaryota; Fungi; Ascomycota; Pichiomycetes; Pichiales; Pichiaceae. The record is from RNAcentral.
AUGUCCAGUAGCGGCGAGUGAGCGGCAGAGCUCAGAUUUGAAAUCGUGUUUCGGCACGAGUUGUAGAGUGUAGGCGGGAGUCUCUGUGGAGCGCGGUGUCCAAGUCCCUUGGAACAGGGUGCCUGAGAGGGUGAGAGCCCCGUAGGGUGCUGCGCGAAGCUUUUGAGGCCCUGCUGACGAGUCGAGUUGUUUGGGAAUGCAGCUCCAAGCGGGUGGUAAAUUCCAUCUAAGGCUAAAUAUUGGCGAGAGACCGAUAGCGAACAAGUACUGUGAAGGAAAGAUGAAAAGCACUUUGAAAAGAGAGUGAAACAGCACGUGAAAUUGUUGAAAGGGAAGGGUAUUGGGCUCGACAUGGGGGGUGCGCACCGCUGUCUCUUGUAGGCGGCGCUCUGGGCGCCCUCUGGGCCAGCAUCGGUUCCUGCUGCGGGAGAAGGGGCUCCGGAAAGUGGCUCUUCGGAGUGUUAUAGCCGGGGCCAGAUGCCGCGUGUGGGGACCGAGGACUGCGGCUUCUGUCUCGGAUGCUGGCAUAACGGCGCAAUACCGCCCGUCUUGA